ACUAGAAGAAAAGCACCUAUACCUAACAAAAUUAAGUGAAUACCCAAAAUGGUAGUCAUUUUAUUUCUAUCUUUCCA
RNAcentral lists this antisense RNA (77 nucleotides) under Cucumis melo (muskmelon). RNAcentral's name for it is "Antisense RNA which regulates isiA expression". It matches the Rfam family "Antisense RNA which regulates isiA expression", at positions 111 to 187 of the family's 187-position model. Lineage: Eukaryota; Viridiplantae; Streptophyta; Magnoliopsida; Cucurbitales; Cucurbitaceae. The record is from Rfam by way of RNAcentral.